CUUCACCCCCAGGAUCCGGUUUGACUGCACCAGUGAGAUCAGGAACUGAAUGAGCUGUGGAGAGAGAGGACACAGUUACCCCGGCCCUUGUGGGGCCCCCGCCGGCCCUCUGGCCCUGCCCCCACCUUGUUGACGACUUUCUGUUGCUGGGCAUGCUUCUGCCGAAGGCUGGCCACCUCCCGCCACAGAGCCUCAUUCUCACUGCAACAGACCAGGCUGGG
Molecule: long non-coding RNA, 221 nt
Filed under: Homo sapiens (human)
Lineage: Eukaryota; Metazoa; Chordata; Mammalia; Primates; Hominidae
Description: non-protein coding lnc-DGAT1-3:1
Source: RNAcentral